This 583-nucleotide ribosomal RNA is filed under the name uncultured bacterium. Its description in RNAcentral is "bacterial SSU rRNA". It matches the Rfam family "Bacterial small subunit ribosomal RNA", at positions 60 to 640 of the family's 1533-position model. The record is from RNAcentral.
AGUCGAACGGGGUACCCUGAAGCGAGGCUUCGGCCAAGCGGAAGGACUACCUAGUGGCGGACGGGUGAGUAACGCGUGAGCAACCUGCCUUUCAGAGGGGGACAACAGUUGGAAACGACUGCUAAUACCGCAUAAAAUCAUAGGAUGGCAUCAUCUAAUGAUCAAAGAUUUAUCGCUGAAAGAUGGGCUCGCGUCUGAUUAGAUAGUUGGUGAGGUAACGGCUCACCAAGUCGACGAUCAGUAGCCGGACUGAGAGGUUGAACGGCCACAUUGGGACUGAGAUACGGCCCAGACUCCUACGGGAGGCAGCAGUGGGGAAUAUUGGGCAAUGGGGGCAACCCUGACCCAGCAACGCCGCGUGAAGGAAGAAGGCUUUCGGGUUGUAAACUUCUUUGACUAGGGACGAAAGAAAUGACGGUACCUAGAAAACAAGCCACGGCUAACUACGUGCCAGCAGCCGCGGUAAUACGUAGGUGGCAAGCGUUGUCCGGAUUUACUGGGUGUAAAGGGCGCGUAGGCGGGACAGCAAGUCAGAUGUGAAAUCUAUGGGCUUAACCCAUAAACUGCAUUUGAAACUGUUGUU